GGACCCGCACAAGUAGUGGAGCAUGUGGUUUAAUUCGAAGAUACGCGCAGAACCUUACCAACACUUGACAUGUUCGUCGCGACUCUAAGAGAUUAGAGUUUUCGGUUCGGCCGGACGAAACACAGGUGCUGCAUGGCUGUCGUCAGCUCGUGUCGUGAGAUGUUGGGUUAAGUCCCGCAACGAGCACAACCCUCACUUUUAGUUGCCAUCAUUAAGUUGGGCACUCUGAAAGAACUGCCAGUGAUAAGCUGGAGGAAGGUGGGGAUGACGUCAAGUCCUCAUGGCCCUUACGUGUUGGGCUACACACGUGCUACAAUGGUAUCUACAACAGGAAGCAAGACUGCGAAGUUAAGCAAA
Molecule: ribosomal RNA, 357 nt
Filed under: uncultured bacterium
Lineage: Bacteria
Description: bacterial SSU rRNA
Rfam family: Bacterial small subunit ribosomal RNA
Source: RNAcentral